Molecule: long non-coding RNA, 565 nt
Filed under: Fukomys damarensis (Damara mole-rat)
Lineage: Eukaryota; Metazoa; Chordata; Mammalia; Rodentia; Bathyergidae
Description: lncRNA (ENSFDAG00000024931.1)
Source: RNAcentral
CGCGCGCCGCCCGGCCGGGGGCGUCCCCGAGAGUGGACGCAGAGCUGAGGCGCGGAGGCCCAGGCUUAAGGCCAACACGCCGAUUUGGGCCUGGACACCGCCGUUUGUGGGAGAGGGAAAGAGACGGGCGUCGAGAGGCGGUGAUUUCGGGGUCGCCUUUCCCGCAAGCACAGGCAGUCCCACUGCUGCAGGCGAGGCACACUCACUGCCCGCCGUGCAAAACCCAGGGCCCGUUCUGAGUGUAUCCUGGGAACAGGCCGUUCCACGAUUUUGGAGUGGGAACUUCAAACGAAGUUGGUAAGGGAGGCAAAUGCGUAAGUGGAAACUUUGAGGAAACUGGCAGCCAGCGCCUGGAAACCAGACAGCCCUUCGCGCUCUGCUCCACCACCUUCUGCCCGCCAGUACAAAGCGGGGCUGGUGCGCCUGUGAGUCAGAGCCCUGCUCUCAGGAACUGGGCCCGGAGAGAUUCCCAGCAUCUGUUUCCUCAACUAUCACCCGGAGGAUACUGGUGCUAAAUCACAGCGAAUAAAAAUAGCCUCAGAGACGGGACUUUCAAACAAAUAAG